GCUAGCUCAGCAGGUAGAGCACAUCCCUUUUAAGGAUGGGGUCCUGGGUUCGAACCCCAG
RNAcentral lists this transfer RNA (60 nucleotides) under Parabacteroides merdae. RNAcentral's name for it is "tRNA-Lys". It matches the Rfam family "tRNA", at positions 8 to 63 of the family's 71-position model. From Rfam's summary of the family: Transfer RNA (tRNA) molecules are approximately 80 nucleotides in length. Their secondary structure includes four short double-helical elements and three loops (D, anti-codon, and T loops). Further hydrogen bonds mediate the characteristic L-shaped molecular structure. tRNAs have two regions of fundamental functional importance: the anti-codon, which is responsible for specific mRNA codon recognition, and the 3' end, to which the tRNAs corresponding amino acid is attached (by aminoacyl-tRNA synthetases). tRNAs cope with the degeneracy of the genetic code in two manners: having more than one tRNA (with a specific anti-codon) for a particular amino acid; and 'wobble' base-pairing, i.e. permitting non-standard base-pairing at the 3rd anti-codon position. Lineage: Bacteria; Pseudomonadati; Bacteroidota; Bacteroidia; Bacteroidales; Tannerellaceae. The record is from RNAcentral.